UUUUUAUCAAUUAGAUACAACACAAUGCAACCCCACUGACAUGGCAGAGGGAAUGUCCGAGCACAUGGACGCAGAAGACACAGCAGUUUGCAUCCAGAAGAAGUCAGUGGAACAGAUCUUUGAAGCCAUGUGUGGAAAUGGUGCACAGCAGAUGGAAGGAGAGUCCUCAGAAACAGCCACUAAUGUAGCCAUCGUGAUGACUGCAGAUGAAGAUGGAGGCAAUUUGUGCUGUAUCUAUCGCAUCCAU
Molecule: long non-coding RNA, 247 nt
Organism: Sander lucioperca (pikeperch)
Lineage: Eukaryota; Metazoa; Chordata; Actinopteri; Perciformes; Percidae
Exons: 4
Source: RefSeq, a predicted model, not a curated record